GAAAUGCGAUAAGUAAUGUGAAUUGCAGAAUUCCGUGAAUCAUCGAAUCUUUGAACGCACAUUGCGCCCUCUGGCAUUCCGGGGGGCAUGCCUGUCCGAGCGUCAUUACGCACCCUCAAGCCCGGCUUGUGUGAUGGGCCCUGGCGUCUCGUUCGCGAGACGGGCCCGAAAGGCAGCGGCGGCGUCGACCCGAUGAGCCCGAGCGUAUGGGGACUUUUGUCACACGCUUGCGGUAUGCCUUCGACACCCGUCUGACCUCUUAAAUGGUCAACCCCCUCUUCUAAGGUUGACCUCGGAUCAGGUAGGGAUACCCGCUGAACUUAAGC
Molecule: unclassified non-coding RNA, 326 nt
Filed under: plant metagenome
Description: partial contains 5.8S ribosomal RNA, internal transcribed spacer 2, and large subunit ribosomal RNA
Rfam family: 5.8S ribosomal RNA (bases 1-105)
Source: RNAcentral